AUUGAACGCUGGCGGCAGGCCUAACACAUGCAAGUCGAGCGGAUGAAGGGAGCUUUCUCCUGGAUUCAGCGGCGGACGGGUGAGUAAUUCCUAGGAAUCUGCCUGGUAUUUGGGGAUAACGUCCGUAAACGGGCGCUAAUACCGCAUACGUCCUGAGGGUGAAAGUGGGGGAUCUUCGGACCUCACGCUAUUAGAUGAGCCUAGUUCGGAUUAGCUAGUUGGUGGGGUAAAGGCCUACCAAGGCGACGAUCCGUAACUGGUCUGAGAGGAUGAUCAGUCACACUGGAACUGAGACACGGUCCAGACUCCUACGGGAGGCAGCAGUGGGGAAUAUUGGACAAUGGGCGAAAGCCUGAUGGAGCAAUGCCGCGUGUGUGAAGAAGGUCUUCGGAUUGUAAAGCACUUUAAGUUGGGAGGAAGGGAAGUAAGUUAAUACCUUGAUGUUUUGACGUUACCAAAAGAAUAAGCACCGGCUAACUUCGUG
This 484-nucleotide ribosomal RNA is filed under the name uncultured bacterium. RNAcentral describes it as "partial 16S ribosomal RNA". It matches the Rfam family "Bacterial small subunit ribosomal RNA", at positions 30 to 507 of the family's 1533-position model. The record is from RNAcentral.